AACGCACAUUGCGCCCUUUGGUAUUCCGAAGGGCAUGCCUGUUCGAGCGUCAUUAUCAACCAUCAAGCCUGGCUUGUCGUUGGACCCCCUUGUCGUCGAGAGCCGACAGGUCCGAAAGAUAAUGACGGUGUCGUGUUUGACCCUAGAUGCAACGAGCUUUUACAGCACGCAUCGAAGUGGUUGGCCGGCCCGGUCCUUCAAACCCCCCAUUUAAUAAGGUUGACCUCGGAUCAGGUAGGAAUACCCGCUGAACUUAA
Molecule: unclassified non-coding RNA, 257 nt
Filed under: uncultured fungus
Lineage: Eukaryota; Fungi
Description: partial contains 5.8S ribosomal RNA, internal transcribed spacer 2, and large subunit ribosomal RNA
Rfam family: 5.8S ribosomal RNA (bases 1-52)
Source: RNAcentral